RNAcentral lists this long non-coding RNA (263 nucleotides) under Elaeis guineensis (African oil palm). RNAcentral's name for it is "long non-coding RNA (EGUI_LNC041547)". The record is from RNAcentral. Lineage: Eukaryota; Viridiplantae; Streptophyta; Magnoliopsida; Arecales; Arecaceae.
GGUCCAAUUUGAUUCUUUUUCACUUUAUUCACCUGGAUAUGGGUUGGUCACUUCUUCAUGUUUCAAUUCAUUUUCAUCACCCACCAUAGUCUCACUACUUAUCUGACCAAGUUGCUUGCCACUUCUCAAUGUAACUGCUUUAUAGUGCUCCUUUGGAUUCACUUCGAUCUUGCUAGGCAGAUUUUCUUAUCCACGUGAAUUAAUUAAACUUGUUAACUGCCCCAUUUGCAUUUUCAAGUUUCUGUUAUAACUGGCCAACUGAU